RNAcentral lists this ribosomal RNA (448 nucleotides) under uncultured bacterium. RNAcentral describes it as "partial 16S ribosomal RNA". It matches the Rfam family "Bacterial small subunit ribosomal RNA", at positions 329 to 793 of the family's 1533-position model. The record is from RNAcentral.
UCCCAGACUCCUACGGGAGGCAGCAGUGGGGGAUAUUGCACAAUGGGGGAAACCCUGAUGCAGCGACGCCGCGUGGGUGAAGGAGCACCUCGGUGCGUAAAGCCCUAUCGGCAGGGAAGAAACAGACGGUACCUGACUAAGAAGCCCCGGCUAACUACGUGCCAGCAGCCGCGGUAAUACGUAGGGGGCAAGCGUUAUCCGGAUUUACUGGGUGUAAAGGGGGCGCAGACGGCAGCGCAAGCCAGGAGUGAAAGCCCGGGGCCCAACCCCGGGACUGCUCUUGGAACUGCGCGGCUGGAGUGCAGGAGGGGCAGGCGGAAUUCCUGGUGUAGCGGUGAAAUGCGUAGAUAUCAGGAGGAACACCGGUGGCGAAGGCGGCCUGCUGGACUGCGACUGACGUUGAGGCCCGAAAGCGUGGGGAGCAAACAGGAUUAGAUACCCCGGUAAG